CUGGAAACGGUGGCUAAUACCGCAUAACGUCGCAAGACCAAAGUGGGGGACCUUCGGGCCUCACACCAUCGGAUGAACCCAGAUGGGAUUAGCUAGUAGGUGGGGUAACGGCUCACCUAGGCGACGAUCCCUAGCUGGUCUGAGAGGAUGACCAGCCACACUGGAACUGAGACACGGUCCAGACUCCUACGGGAGGCAGCAGUGGGGAAUAUUGCACAAUGGGCGCAAGCCUGAUGCAGCCAUGCCGCGUGUAUGAAGAAGGCCUUCGGGUUGUAAAGUACUUUCAGCGGGGAGGAAGGGAUGGUGCUUAAUACGCGCCGUCAUUGACGUUACCCGCAGAAGAAGCACCGGCUAACUCCGUGCCAGCAGCCGCGGUAAUACGGAGGGUGCAAGCGUUAAUCGGAAUUACUGGGCGUAAAGCGCACGCAGGCGGUCUGUUAAGUCAGAUGUGAAAUCCCCGGGCUUAACCUGGGAACUGCAUUUGAAACUGGCAGGCUUGAGUCUCGUAGAGGGGGGUAGAAUUCCAGGUGUAGCGGUGAAAUGCGUAGAGAUCUGGAGGAAUACCGGUGGCGAA
This 574-nucleotide ribosomal RNA is filed under the name Erwinia sp. RNAcentral's name for it is "bacterial SSU rRNA". It matches the Rfam family "Bacterial small subunit ribosomal RNA", at positions 150 to 719 of the family's 1533-position model. The record is from RNAcentral. Lineage: Bacteria; Pseudomonadati; Pseudomonadota; Gammaproteobacteria; Enterobacterales; Erwiniaceae.